This is a long non-coding RNA of Lolium perenne, 2799 nucleotides long. RefSeq lists it as uncharacterized. NCBI's taxonomy places the organism in Eukaryota, Viridiplantae, Streptophyta, Magnoliopsida, Poales, Poaceae. The record is from RefSeq and is a predicted model, not a curated record.
AAGGCACGAACUUGUGUUGGAAAAUAAGAUCUAGGCCAUCCACAUAACUUGAUCUAAGGGACAUGGACGCUUCAUUCUCCCCACCCUUUCUUUCCUCAACGCAGUCCGUUUACAACGCCGUAAUCCCAAAAUCACGGCAAUGACUGCACGCAUACCCUCCUUGCUUCCUCCGGCACCCAGCACGAACUCCCUCCGUGCCGCCUGGUGCACUGCUUCCCGCGCAUCGAAGCGCUCCUCCCUGUACCGGCGCCUCCCUGCCCGCCGUACUCCCUGCACAAACCAGAAGUGGAGGCAAUCGCCCGCCGUCCUCGCUCGCCCCCGCUAUCGGAGAUGAAGGCGCCACUCCCCCCACGCGAUCUAGGCUGAGUCCGCCGCCACUCCUCGCGCUUGCCCCUCCCGUCAUAGGGUUGCUGGUGGUCAACCGCCCAACCUGCUCGCGUGCAGCCGCUGCCGGCACUGCUGCCUUCCUCCCGAUCUGGCGUUGACAAAGACCCUUACUGCUGCUAAUGGGGCACGCCCAGAUUCAGCGUUGCCAAGCAUUUCGAUUUUUUGCACGAUCACUUCCUUGAAGGUACUCGAUGACUGACGAUGAAGAGACUCUACAGGUAAUCGCGUUUUAGGUCUAGAUGAUGAAGUACUUUAAUUGCUAAUUCACCGCGGUAAUCACUUUUCAGGAUAUUGAUUUGAAGUAAGCACGCAUACAUGUCUUUAUCAUCUCUAAUCUGAAUAUUUCGAGUUUUCGCUUUCAGAGCCAUUGGAUAUUCAUUAAUCGUCAAAUAUGUCAUAUGGAUAGGUAUAGAGUGUGCAACUUCACCAGCACUUGACUAUUGGCUGACUUCUUAUUUUCAUUACUUUGUGAGUCCAUUGGCUGAUGUGGAUAGGAGUUCAUUGUUACGGCAGCUGCAUCCGUUCUGCUUUUCAUCACGGCUUCAUAUUGCCUGUAAACAAACUUGGACGGUUUUUCUACUGGCUUAGAGUACUUCUGAUUUUUACAAUGUAGAAUGCUAAAAAUGCUUCAUACUACUGGUAAAAAGGACUGCUUCAGUAGGAUAGAAACCUAUGGACUGCCGGCCAAAAGGAAGACACAAAUUUUUGAAGUAUACUAUUUUGUCACAGUUUUUGAGGUAUAGAAUUUUGGGUGCUUCUUUGUGUCUGAACAAUUGUGGAACUCACUGCACAAUGACUGGUGUAAAUAUUGUGUGCCUAUUUAUAAUAGUGAAACUUAUCAGAAUUUUGAUCCAUGUCUAAUGGGGAAUGCCCGGAUUCAGCGCCGCCAAGCAUUUUGAUUUUUUUUAAUCAUCACUUCCUUCAAGGUACUCGAUUCGUCCCCUUUGCCUCAGUUCCGUCUCAUGAAGGAUGUUGUCGGCCCACCAUUCAAGUUCAUCUUAGUCUCUUGGUAGACAUAGCAGUGGAAGCAUUUAAUUUUUUACUUAUUGUUCUAAACAAUAAUGUGUUCUGUUCCAGUAGUAUGCUUCAAUUGGCUGCUUUGACAAGACUCUUAAGUCAGCACUAAAUUCAUUAUGUUCGAAAGAUUGUUACGUGCUUAUUGUUUAGUUUUCAGAUAAAUUUUACUUUGUCAUCAGAAGUGUGUAAGCAUUCAGAGAUUUUUAGGAUGUUAUCAUUUGGUGAUAUUAGAUGCUUUCUCAAUUCAGAUUUCAACCUGAGUGCACUGAUUAUUUGCAGGGCCUUGAAAUUUUGGAUUCAGCACAGAAGCUAAAAAUCUCAACUUUACUGUCAUAUUUACGUUGCGUUUAAUAUCUGAUCUUCAGCUCCAUCAUGCUAAUGAGAUAUCCCGUUUAUUUACUUUGUCCAGUUUCAUACAUUAUGUGUCAUAAUAUGGAGCUUUGGAAUAUCCAAAUUUUAUCACGCUAGAAGAUAUUUGGAUCUCCUAUAAAUGAGUGACUGCAUGAACCUAUCAUUUUAAUACAUGAUACCAUCGUAUUGACUGACAUGGUGGUAGAGAUUUUGAAGGGCAAGAAAGGCUCAUCUUGGAACAAAAUACACAUGUUCUGUGACUUCUUUGUCGGGAAGACUGCUGCUUAUAAAAUGACUUUCAUCUACUGCUACUCAUAUUCAGGUGCCUCUCUGGGUUGUGUUCUAUGUUCCAAGUGUAAUCAACCGUUGAAAGGCUUUUGGAUGACAAAGGUAAACACGUAUUUAAAGAUUGAAGUUUUAGAACAACAGUAGUACUAUUAUCUUUAGUUAACACCAGACAGUCAUUCUUUCAGUUCAUUUCAUGUGGUGAUCCUGUGGGCCCUCUUUGAUAAUGUAAUAUCAUCUGGUUUCCUUUCAAAAAUAUUUCCUUUCCUUUUUCAGCACAUUGCUUGGAUUGAAACUCCCCAAUCUUUGACCUCGGUUUUGACGUAGGGGCCCUUCGUUGCUGCGCGCUGGUGAGGACGGCGUGGAAAAGUCUGAACUCCCUUUUUCUUUUCUUAUGAGAUGCUCGAUAGAACAACACGUUUAGGACCCAGUAUCUGGGAAUCGGCAAGCCAUUAAUAGGUUAUCUGCCAUAUAUUUUUCAGAUGAAAUUUUAUGCUAUAAGCAUGCAUAUUUUUCUUGGUAAUUUCUAUUGGAUGGGAAGCUAAGUCGCUAGCUUAGAUUAAAUCAUCAUUGUACUGUCAUGAGCUAACUGAUAUUUUUGGAAAUUUUACGGUAGCCGCAAUUCAGUAAUAUGACAUAGCUCUUCUCUCACGCCUUUGUCACAACAAUGAUUUAAGUAAUCAGCAUUCAAUGUAUAAGCAGCUUCUUUUUUGUCUCAUCAAUUUGUUUUGUGGAAAUUGCAAGUCAUGAUUACCUUUU